CGGGGGGUGCGAGCGUUGUCCGGAAUCACUGGGCGUAAAAGGGCGCGUAGGUGGCUUUGUAAGUUUGCGGUGAAAGCCCGGGGCUCAACCCCGGGUCUGCCGUGGAUACUGCAAGGCUUGAGUACUGUAGAGGCAGGUAGAAUAUCGGGUGUAGCGGUGGAAUGCGUAGAGAUCCGAUAGAAGACCGGUGGCGAAGGCGGCCUGCUGGGCAGUAACUGACACUGAGGCGCGACAGCGUGGGGAGCAAACAGGAUU
RNAcentral lists this ribosomal RNA (255 nucleotides) under uncultured bacterium. RNAcentral describes it as "partial 16S ribosomal RNA". It matches the Rfam family "Bacterial small subunit ribosomal RNA", at positions 526 to 779 of the family's 1533-position model. The record is from RNAcentral.